UACGAAGGGGGCUAGCGUUGCUCGGAAUCACUGGGCGUAAAGGGUGCGUAGGCGGGUCUUUAAGUCAGGGGUGAAAUCCUGGAGCUCAACUCCAGAACUGCCUUUGAUACUGAGGAUCUUGAGUUCGGGAGAGGUGAGUGGAACUGCGAGUGUAGAGGUGAAAUUCGUAGAUAUUCGCAAGAACACCAGUGGCGAAGGCGGCUCACUGGCCCGAUACUGACGCUGAGGCACGAAAGCGUGGGGAGCAACAGG
This 252-nucleotide ribosomal RNA is filed under the name uncultured bacterium. Its description in RNAcentral is "partial 16S ribosomal RNA". It matches the Rfam family "Bacterial small subunit ribosomal RNA", at positions 524 to 775 of the family's 1533-position model. The record is from RNAcentral.